This 253-nucleotide unclassified non-coding RNA is filed under the name uncultured Cyclobacteriaceae bacterium. RNAcentral describes it as "contains 16S-23S intergenic spacer region". It matches the Rfam family "Bacterial small subunit ribosomal RNA", at positions 524 to 776 of the family's 1533-position model. Lineage: Bacteria; Pseudomonadati; Bacteroidota; Cytophagia; Cytophagales; Cyclobacteriaceae. The record is from RNAcentral.
UACUGAGGGUGCAAGCGUUGUCCGGAUUUCUUGGGUUUAAAGGGUGCGGAGGCGGAAGAUUAAGUCAGUGGUGAAAGCCCACAGCUCAACUGUGGAACUGCCAUUGAUACUGGUUUUCUUGAAUUCAGUUAAGGUAGGCGGAAUUGAUGGUGUAGCGGUGAAAUGCAUAGAUACCAUCAGGAACACCGAUUGCGAAGGCAGCUUACUGGGCUUGAAUUGACGCUGAGGUGCGAAAGCGUGGGGAGCAAACAGG